GGUGGCUGGAGUGUAUGGUGUCUGUCCAUGUAUAGUGCUGCUGUCCGUCUGUGUCUUACAGACAGACAGCAGUGCUCACUCCUCACCUGCAGCCACAGAGACACUGGAGAUCAUAGUACUGGUCUAGUGAUGUCGCUCAGACACCCCACCACUGACCAGCCUCCAUAAUCUCCUACAUCC
Paramormyrops kingsleyae is the source of this 180-nucleotide small nucleolar RNA. Ensembl annotates it as small nucleolar RNA SNORA23. The record is from Ensembl. Lineage: Eukaryota; Metazoa; Chordata; Actinopteri; Osteoglossiformes; Mormyridae.